This is a non-coding RNA of Sus scrofa (pig), 1949 nucleotides long. NCBI's taxonomy places the organism in Eukaryota, Metazoa, Chordata, Mammalia, Artiodactyla, Suidae. The record is from RefSeq and is a predicted model, not a curated record.
GCCCGACCAGAGAGCGAGCGCGCGGCAGCGGCGGCGGCAGAAACCCAGGCGCGUCCCAGCCAGGCCUCCAGUGUCCCCGGUCCACAGCGCUCCGCGCCCCUCGUCCGCGCGUGCCCCGCGCCCCGGGUCCCCGCGCCUCCGUCGCCCCUCAGGCCCCCAGCCGCCCGCCAGGCCGCUAGGCCCCAGCCCCCGCGCCCGCCGCCCAGGCCCGGCCCGCUCCUCGCAGGCCGCCCGCCGCCCGCGCCGCCAUGGGGGUAGAGGGCUGCACCAAGUGCAUCAAGUACCUGCUCUUCGUCUUCAAUUUCGUCUUCUGGCUGGCUGGAGGCGUGAUCCUGGGCGUGGCCCUGUGGCUUCGCCACGACCCCCAGACUACCAGCCUCCUCUACCUGGAGCUCGGAGACAAGCCCGCACCCAAUACCUUCUAUGUGGGCAUCUACAUCCUCAUCGCUGUGGGUGCUGUGAUGAUGUUUGUGGGGUUCCUGGGCUGCUACGGGGCCAUCCAGGAGUCACAGUGCUUGCUGGGGACGUUCUUCACCUGCCUCGUGAUCCUCUUUGCCUGUGAGGUGGCCGCCGGCAUCUGGGGUUUCGUCAACAAGGACCAGAUCGCCAAGGACGUGAAGCAGUUCUACGACCAGGCCUUGCAGCAGGCCAUAGUGGACGACGACGCCAACAACGCCAAGGCCGUGGUGAAGACUUUCCACGAGACGCUCAACUGCUGCGGCUCCAACACGCUGACCACGCUGACCACCUCUGUGCUCAAGAACAGCCUGUGCCCCUCGGGUGGCAACAUCAUCAGCAACUUGAUGAAGGUACGGGGUGCUGGGGGCGGGGGGGUGGCACCUGCGGGCCAUCGGGCUGCCAUCCCCAGUGGGUCCUGGGUGGUGGCAGGGCCUUUCAGGGCGCCCGCUGGCAAGGACUGGGGGGCAGCGUGGGUGGAGUCGGGACUGCUCUGCUGCCGCCGGCCAUCGGGGAGGUGAGUCUCUGGCCCAGGUUCCUGGUGAGGGAGUUCCCCAAACUGCACGGAGGGCGCCCCGACCGCCUGCGCCCGCCCUGUCCCUGUGCACUUCGCCAUCUCUGGGCGCCAGAGGGCACACACUCGCCAUCUCCCUGUUCGCGUAAAGGGACGUGAGUCAAAACCCGGGGCAGGCCAGGUCCUGUUCACACGUCUUCUGAGGGGCCUGGGCCCCUCUGUCUCUUGCUGCAAUGGCCCUGGGCCGGGGCACGGCCGGGGGCCUGAGGUCGGGCGCCGCUGACGGCGCGCUGCCCCCCCAGGAGGACUGCCACAGCAAGAUUGACGAGCUCUUCUCGGGGAAGCUGUACCUCAUUGGCAUCGCAGCCAUUGUGGUCGCUGUGAUCAUGAUCUUCGAGAUGAUCCUGAGCAUGGUACUGUGCUGUGGCAUCCGGAACAGCUCGGUGUACUGAGGCCCCGGCCACCGAGGCCGCAGGGGGGCCGCCGCCCCCCGCGGUGCCCCCAGAGUGACCGGAUACUUCUGAGAAGGGCGGUCAGCACCUGUGUAUAUAACUUCCUGAUAUCACCGCUACACUGAUCAGCCUUUACUUUUGAGGUCUUGUUCCUGUCCUCAAGCUCCCUGUUACUUUUGGGGCCGCCGUCACCCGUAGGUGGCAUGUGAGUGGGCCGUGGGGACUCUAGGGCAGGGGCCCCCUCUGCUUCCGGGGCUGCUUGGGGCCUCUGCCUGCUCAGCCAGGCCUCUCCCGGGGGCCACGAGGGCCCUACGGCCCAGCUGCGUCCUCCCACCCAGCCGACCCCGUGGGCUGCGCGCUCGCCCAGCCCUUUUUAAUCCUUGUUUCUUUCCGGCCGCCUGUCCUGAGAGCCGGGUCUCCGAGCAGCCUUACGCCUCUGAUGCACCUCUCCUUUCUAACGCGUCACUUUCGACUGUAAUUACAUCCUCAAAGUCAUUCAAUAAAGAAAGAAGAAACAGGCAUGCUAA